RNAcentral lists this ribosomal RNA (497 nucleotides) under uncultured bacterium. Its description in RNAcentral is "partial 16S ribosomal RNA". It matches the Rfam family "Bacterial small subunit ribosomal RNA", at positions 28 to 507 of the family's 1533-position model. The record is from RNAcentral.
GAUGAACGCUGGCGGCGUGCCUAAUACAUGCAAGUCGAGCGAACAGACGAGGAGCUUGCUCCUCUGACGUUAGCGGCGGACGGGUGAGUAACACGUGGAUAACCUACCUAUAAGACGGGGAUAACUUCGGGAAACCGGAGCUAAUAGCGGAGAAUAUAUUGAACCGCAUGGUUCAAUAGUGAAAGACGGUUUUGCUGUCACUUAUAGAUGGAUCCGCGCCGCAUUGGCUAGUCGGUAAGGUAACGGCUUACCAAGGCGACGAUGCGUAGCCGACCUGAUUGGGUGGUCGGCCACACUGGAACUGGGCCGCGGUCCUGGGUCCUGCGGGAGGCAGCAGUAGGGUAUCUUCCGCAGUGGGCGAAAGCCUGACGGAGCAACGCCGCGUGAGUGAUGAAGGUCUUCGGAUCGUAAAACUCUGUUAUUAGGGAAGAACCAAUGUGUAAGUAACUAUGCACGUCUUGACGGUACCUAAUCAGAAAGCCCCGGCUAACUACGUG